GUGCGGCCUAAAUUUUUCAGGCAGCGCCCUUUCGAAAAUAACUUUAUAAAACAGGCGCAGCCACGAUUUCCCUGGUGUUGGCGCAGUAUUCGCGCACCCCGGUUAAGCC
This 109-nucleotide small RNA is filed under the name Enterobacter asburiae. RNAcentral's name for it is "ArcZ RNA". It matches the Rfam family "ArcZ RNA". From Rfam's summary of the family: This RNA was discovered in E. coli during a large scale screen. SraH expression is highly abundant in stationary phase, but low levels could be detected in exponentially growing cells as well. Lineage: Bacteria; Pseudomonadati; Pseudomonadota; Gammaproteobacteria; Enterobacterales; Enterobacteriaceae. The record is from RNAcentral. RNAcentral also lists the same sequence under 3 other names.